GCCGCACGGCUUUCGCCGCCGUGGCCGCACCGCGGAAGGGGAGCGGGGGGUCCGGGCGCAGCGGUGCCGGGGGGCACGCGUGGGCACGGCUCCGCGGCCCGGAGGGGCCGUCCGCCGCGUCCGGACCCACAGCCGGCUGCUGGGACCGCAGCCCCGCACGUCGCAGCGGCAGCUGUCGGGAACGCUGAUUGCGCGUUAGUUACUGCACGCGCCGUCCCGGCUCUCGUCGUACCGGGAACGCUUCGGCUUCUCUUUGGGGGCCCCGCCGCGGGGUGCCGUGCCUCCGCCGCCGGGCACGGAGGGAGAGAUGCGCGGUCCUGCGGCCGGGCUUCCUCCCUCGGGUCACUUCAACGCUGACCCGCGCGCCGGCUUAUGGUGCCAAAGGAGCAGGCACAGCACAGCAGCGCUGGCACUCCCCAAGACAGUCCGUCUCUCCCACUACAUGUUCAAGGAAAGCAGAAAACCCAGCUCAUGGUCCGCAGCAAUAAAGGGAAUGAUGUGAACCGCCUCUCAUCCCUCCAAGCCUUCCACCGUGAGUAGCCUGCAACAAAUACAGACAGUGCUUAUGCUUUAAAGUAAUGAUGAAACCGAAGUAUUUGUAGCUAUUUCCUUUGGGCAACUGGAAAUAAGAACCAGCACUCCAUCUCAGGCUUGUUCCCUGCGGAGUGCAGCACGAAGACAAUCCGGGAACAGGAAGGCUUUCUCUGGGACAGCCUCCUGCAGCCGUCCUCUUGCAAGGACCGUCUCCUUGGGAGGGAGGGCUCUUCUUUUGUUGAUGAAAUGUAGCAGCAGCUCUUGUGGACGGUGCCAAGCAUUCUGAGCUGCAGUUCAUACUGUCUCACCAGCUGGAUGAUUCACUGCUGGAGGAGAGACCAAGGACUUCACCUGAGCUCAGGAGACAGAUGUUACUACUUCACAUUAAUUAGAAAGAAAGGGGGGAAAAAAAAAAAAAAAAGAAGAAGUAAAAGCAAGCUAAACCCAGAAUGAACUUGAGCUGCAUCUUUUCAGAGAGACGGAAUAUGCAGAAUGAGGGAAUCACAAAGCAGGUUAGGCAUACUUCACUUUUUACUGUCUGGGAGGAGUGUGUUCUCAGAGGAAACCCUGUCUCUGUUACAGGUAGAUCCAGUCCCACAGCUGCCUGGUUUUGUUGCUCUCGGAGGGUGCUGCAAUUGGCUCUGAUGGUCGCAGUUUCCACCUUUGUGUCUUAACUAAUCUUUUAGCCAUGCUGGGUCAUGCUAUCAAACGCCUUGAAGAUCAGAAGUGACGCUGUGGUUUGGCCUCCUGGCCCAAGAGGCAGAGGGUGGGUUUGAUGCCUUUGUGGUGGUCAGGGCUCCCACUGCAGUGCGCUUGUCCAGCUGGCAUUUGCCAAGUGCUGUGGGCUUCAUGCCCAGGUGUAUCACAUAGCUGUAGCCUCGCCAAGAGGUGACAAAGAUAUGACUAACUGAGGUUAGGUUGCUCCUGCCAAAAGGCAUGGCUGCUUGUGGCCAAACAGAGAACAUGGAAAACACUGGGAGUUUCACGUCACUGGGGAGUGCUCCUAAGACAUGGGCUAUGUAGAACAGCCGGGAAGAUGUUUCAGCUCAAGAAGGCUGCUCUGCAGCUUCAGUACUGUGUUCUGUAUGAUUGCCAGAGAAGGGUUUGAUUGUUCUUGAGUGUCUCAGUUCAGCUCUGCUGCUCCAGCUGUAGGUCCUGGCCUGAGAGCACAUUGUACCGGAUGCAGAACAUCAGUUUCCAUUUGGAGAGCCUUCAGCUGGCUGUGAGCUGGUCCCUACCUGAGCUUCCUCUGGAAAGGGGCAGCUGCUGGGAAUGACUGUGACAUUUGUUUUGGAUGCUCAUCUCUGAGGAGAGUGUCUGCAAGCAGUUCCUAGCCAUGGUGACUGCUUCUGCCUUCUGAGUCAAACCCCUUCCUGAUGAGACUUCAGGAAUCUGAAGGAUUUGCAUGUGUUUUGCAGUUCUGAUCUUGAGUUUCACUGUCCUGUGCUGUGUGUAAGAACAGUGCCUUGGGAAUAAAGCAACAUGGGCCUUUCCCAUCUCUUGAUCCUUUGCCUGCACCCCCUCAGUGCAGGGUGGUGCUGGACUACCCAAGGGCUGGAUGACACAGUGCUUGGUGCGUGCAUGUGAACUUGCUGCUCCCAGACAGCAUGGGGCUGUGCUGUAUUGUUUUCUCUCCAGACAAUGCAGCACUGGAUUGUAAGUAAAAAUGCAGAGCACACUGCAAUGUUUGCUCUUUAUUAAUGCACUAAGAUGCAUUUGGGUGAAGCAGAAGGCUCCUGGCUGGCUUGGUUUCAAGCUCCGUGACAGGCUUCCAUAAACACUUUGCCACAGACAGCCCCUUUGUUGAGAGGGGAGCUGGUGAGCAAGUGAGCGAUCCUGGGAGCUUCCCAAUGGCCGGUGGGCACUACAGGGCACUUCAGCUGCAGCUGCUGCUGCUGCGGGGCAGGAGGAAAGGAGAGUGCAUGAGCAGAGACACCCUGCUCUGCCAGCCUUUGCUUGCUGGCCUGGUAGCUUUUGUAGUCUCUCUGCACUGGGUAUCUGGCCACCUGUUUUUUAGCUGAGCAACUUGAGCUAAAAGCUGCCGGCUAUGACACAGUACCUCUGUUGCCAGAACACGCAGUUUCUUGUUCCACUUUUGAGGAAUGUAUGUGGCCGCUUACAGCAAUUACAGCUUAACCUUCCAGCUCUGAACUCUGCCUAGUAUCAGGGAAAUACCAGCUGGAGCAAAUAUCUUGACCUCUGGAUGACACAGCUGGGAGAUAACUGCGGUCUCAGCCUCAGAUGCUCUGAUUCUUGGUCACGCAGCACUUGGGCAGGCCCUCCUGCAGGCCGAGAAGGAUGGGGUGUCCAUCCCCAGAGCAUCCCUGCCAACACGGGCCGUGCUCUGAGGAGGGAGGUGACAGCGUCAGGCUGUAUGUUAUGGUGGAGAUAGGGCCCACCUCACGGCUGGGUUGGGCUGGUUCUUGUUGCACGUUUAGGUUUUUGUCUAAGGCACUUCACUGCUUUAGCCAAGCUGCAGCGGAUGAAGUUGUAAGUCUGACAGCGGACGAGUGCGGUUUGACCCUUCUGCUCUCUUUCACCUUCAGUUUGCGCUUUCCUACACGUACAGCAUUAAGGUUUGG
Molecule: long non-coding RNA, 3116 nt
Filed under: Gallus gallus (chicken)
Lineage: Eukaryota; Metazoa; Chordata; Aves; Galliformes; Phasianidae
Source: RNAcentral